CAAAGCCCGCGCUCGAAUGCUAUUGGUCGUGUCGCCAAACACGUCAAUCAAAAUAUGACGCAAGUUGAUGCGUUCACUCAAAAGAUUCAUAAACAAACGAAAGGCCACUAAAAGGCGGUAUAAAUUGCACUACCGACGCGAAACUGCUCUGAAGGGAUUUUUAUCAGAUUCUAAGACAGCAUCACAUUCAACUUUGAUUGAAAUUAGGGUAAUUCACUAAGAAGAGGUGUGUAUCUGGAUUUAGAUGCAGUAAUGUGAACAGUUGCAAAAAUUCAGCGUUAAGAGGUCCUACAAUCGCACAGAGCAGGAAUGUUGAUGACUUCUGGGUACAUCUAAAGGAAAUGGAGGCUUUCCUUUGUGUGAGGGGUGUUGGAGUAGCCAAACCCUCGGCUCAAUUUUUCCGACACCUCAUAAAGCGUGAGCUGUGCAUGUGCGUGAGGGCUGAAAUGAUUCACAGCACCAUGGAAACACAACUCACGGCUUCCUGCAGCACAUAUGGAGACGGUAAGGUAUGCCUGUGAUCUCAUAUCAAAAACACCGUUAGGACUCUGAAGUUCAACCUGCUCUCUAGAGGACACAUUCAUCUCAGGAACUUCUUAAAGACAAACAGUGUUUUUCCGGUUUGAUUGCUAGCGGUUUGACGCUCGGUUGGUUUUAUCCUGAGCACUUCUUGGCCCUGAUGGACAGAACGAGGAGAGAGUGAGAGGUUUUUGGCUUAUGAUUUUCCAUAAGCCUUUCCCUGUCACCGCUGCAUUAUACAAUCCAACCCACAAGCUGCAGCUCAGCACUGCUGACAAGCACCUCAGUUUUAGAAGAUGAAAGAACCAAAUAUUGCAAUUCUCUCCCCCUGUCUGUAUCAUAAAAGCUUUGGGGUGAUAUUACCAUGCUCAUGUGACUGCACAUAAUCCAUGUGUCAGCAGUUCAGCCUCAUCCAGAGCGCAAAGAAAACAAGGAUGUGCCAGAUUGGUGAAAUGGCAAACAACUGCAUCAGAGAGGGAAUGAAGUCAACAGUGCUGGCAGCGAAGAUAGUUUGCGUUAUUAUGGUGUCUUAGUUUGUAAACCUGGAUUGUUUUCUUUCUUUUUUUUGCUCCAUUUACGUUUGUUUUUCUGAUCUUAUUUUAUACAUAUUGCAGACAUGAAACAUGUUCAAUAAAAGGUAUUUUUAAGUGUAAAAAUAAUAAUCUAUGAAAUCAUGUGGGUGGGGCUUAUUUUAUUGGAUUUGAUUGGAUCAUGAAAAUCAGGGUACACUUAUUAUUGGAUAAUAGGCUAUUAUUUUUACUCGCGUGGCUUCAGGAGAAAAGAAAAGCCAUUUUACAGGUUGAAUACAUUACAUUUUUUAUAAAAGUUGAUGAAAAGAUUUGUUCUGUAGAAUAAAGUUCUCUGAAAAACAUUUGCAUACUAUGUUGAGGGACAUCUUUUAAGAAAGUAAUUGGGCUUAAUUUUGAUUUCAUGUUAUUUUAAAUCUAUAUGUUAAACCAAGAUACGUGUAUUUAACUUUUUUAACGAAACUUUUUUCUUAUUGAAAACACAUUUUCUGUUAAAUAAUGGAGGGCAGGACUUUUGUUUUGAUUGGACUAGAUUGUGAAAAGCAGGAUGCUCAUUAAAAUAUUAGGCUAUUUUAUCCCACUCGCAUGGUCUUGGCAGAAAAAAAAGGUCAUUUUAGAUGUGAAGAGCAUUUUAUUUAGUUAAAAGAUGAAGACAAUAAACUUCUUUUUUUCUUAAGGUGCCAAUAAUAGCAUAAUAAAAGCAUGUUAAUAAAGUAAAUAGUCUCAAUUUUGAAUGGUUUAAUUUUAUAUAAACGUAUGAAUACAAUUAGUCACUAAUGAUUAGUGAAAAGCUGGUUAGGUAUUGGA
Molecule: long non-coding RNA, 1853 nt
Organism: Cyprinus carpio carpio
Lineage: Eukaryota; Metazoa; Chordata; Actinopteri; Cypriniformes; Cyprinidae
Source: Ensembl